AAAGUAGGUUUUAACCUAUAUCAGCACUAAAAAAUUCAGGUGAAGUCACCUGAAUUCUUCUGUACUGAAAAAUAAAGUGAAAAAAUCCGAAUUUCACUUUGGAAUUAAACAUUUGGAGCAACAGAGAAAUCCUGCAGAAGAGAUGCAGUCAUCAGAGUUGUGGUGCUUCAACUUCUGGUGGUUGUGCAUGGAGCGGGUAGAUUCAGUAAAGAUUUAGAUCCAUUAAUAUACCCUGAGGUGUUGUACAUCAGACAGAACCCCAGCACAGGAGCCACAGAGUCAUUUUAGCUUCAGCACUGUGACCCUGCAUCCCUUCAUGGGAGGCUGGGGGUGUGAGAUGCAGGCUGGGCAUCACUCACCUGCUGGAGUGAGGCAGAAUAAACAGGUAUAUUGUGAGGCAGCAGAAUGAGAGAUAGACGUUACACAGCUUUGAAACUGCACACUAAAAACACUUUUUGUUCUGCUGGAAAGGCACAGCAGUGCCAGUAGGACAGCCUGGGACUUGAAAUCCUAGCUGGUUUAAAUAUAUCAAGAAUAUCCCAAAAGAAGAUGCUUUGUCAUGAAGGGCAAGCAAGCCUCAAAGGCAGCCUGGGCCUGAGCAGGAGCACGCUGAAUGGCUGGGCACUGCCUUGCAUCUGCUUUCAAAACACCUCUGUACCUAUUCAUUGUGUUCUGUUCUCUCACUGAGCAGCAGCUGUAGAGCACAGACACAUCCAGGCAGCUGUGAGAGGAAAAAGGCUUGAGAAUAAUGAACUCUGGGACCAGCUUUUUCCUUCACCCUUUUCCACAUGAAUGCGAUGAUCAGAACAUAUACUUGCUCAGGACACAAAUACCAUCAAAUUUUUUCGUUACACAUGGGCAGUGAGGCAGUUUUCCUGCAUGAAAAGCCAUCAUUCAUGGAGAGCUGGAGCCCAAAGCCAGACAGAAGUUUCCUGACUCUCCCCUGGGCACAGCCAGCUCCAUGCGCUUGGGAAGGUUCAGCACCACACGUGGCCACCAGAUUUUUGGUAGUGACAUCCCAUUUGCAGUUUGCCAAAGGCAUGGUGACCUGUGAGGUUUUAGGGGGUGAAGAACCUCUCCCUCAGGGGGGUACACACACCCCCUGGCCCCUCCAGCGAGUAGGAUCACAAGCAGCAGCCAUCACCAGAGUAACACCAGCCCUGCAUGUGCUCCCUGCCUACAUGACAGUGACUCCUUCACCCCCCUGCAUUUUAACUGCUUUAGCUUAGUUUGAGACAACAUCAACAGUGCUGUUAUCAGUUCAGGACUUACUGUAGGCUUUUGAGAAAAAAAAUAGCAUUACUUACACCACAUUUUUGUUUUGUCACUUAGAUAGGACUCCAAAGACUUCUGUACUCCUGGAUUUCAUGCAUGGCCUUGCUACCACCAUGCACACAUCACCUCUGUGCUGCAUCACUGCCCAGAGGCUGGGCUGCACAGUGAAGGAAGAGGAUGAAGCUUUGCAGCAUUUAAUAUCCACCACACUGCCUGCAUCAGACAUCCUGUAAAUUGUUCCAUUGAUCUCUCUUCUUUUGAAGAUUUUACCAACUCUGACCUCAAAUUUCAUUUCCUCUUUCUGACAGGGAUGAUAGAGGAAAAUAAAAAGUAAAAAUUUCAAUAUCGUCCUUUGUUCAGUUUCUCCAUCCUGUUUAAUGGAUAUUCCCACAGCAGGAGCUGGUGGAACCAGUGAGCUCUUUCAAGAACUGUAAUUUCUAAACUGGUGAGCACAAUACAUCUCAGACAG
This is a long non-coding RNA of Taeniopygia guttata (zebra finch), 1744 nucleotides long. Lineage: Eukaryota; Metazoa; Chordata; Aves; Passeriformes; Estrildidae. The record is from Ensembl.